Molecule: ribosomal RNA, 301 nt
Filed under: uncultured bacterium
Lineage: Bacteria
Description: partial 16S ribosomal RNA
Rfam family: Bacterial small subunit ribosomal RNA
Source: RNAcentral
CAGUCGCCACGGUAAUACAGAGGGUGCGAGCGUUAAUCGGAUUUACUGGGCGUAAAGCGUGCGUAGGCGGCUUCUUAAGUCGGAUGUGAAAUCCCUGAGCUUAACUUAGAAAUUGCAUUCGAUACUGGGAAGCUAGAGUAUGGGAGAGGAUGGUAGAAUUCCAGGUGUAGCGGUGAAAUGCGUAGAGAUCUGGAGGAAUACCGAUGGCGAAGGCAGCCAUCUGGCCUAAUACUGACGCUGAGGUACGAAAGCAUGGGGAGCAAACAGGAUUAGAUACCCGAGUAGUCCCUGUCUCUUAUAC